RNAcentral lists this small nuclear RNA (304 nucleotides) under Castor canadensis (American beaver). RNAcentral's name for it is "7SK RNA (ENSCCNG00000017809.1)". It matches the Rfam family "7SK RNA". Rfam says of the family: 7SK was discovered as an abundant small nuclear RNA in the mid-70s but a possible function has only recently been suggested. Two independent studies have found that 7SK RNA binds the CDK9/cyclin T complex (known as elongation factor P-TEFb). Lineage: Eukaryota; Metazoa; Chordata; Mammalia; Rodentia; Castoridae. The record is from RNAcentral.
GGAUGUGAGGGCGAUCUGGCUGCGACAUCUGUCACCCCAUUGAUCGCCAGGGUUGAUUCGGCUGCUCUAGCUGGCUAAGCGGGUGUCCCCUUCCUCCCUCACCGCUCCCAUGUGUGUCCCUCCGAAAGCUGCGCGCUUGGUCAAAGAGGACGAGCAUCCCAGAUAGAAGAGGACGGUUCUUCGGUCAAGGGUAUACGAGUAGCUGCGCUCCCCUGCUAGAACCUCCAAACAAGCUCUCACAUGUGCAAGUGGAACUAUGGGAGUUGUAAGACCCCAUGAAACCUACGGAAAUCACUGAUCACAG